AUUGAACGCUGGCGGCAGGCCUAACACAUGCAAGUCGAGCGGAUGAAGGGAGCUUGCUCCUGGAUUCAGCGGCGGACGGGUGAGUAAUGCCUAGGAAUCUGCCUGGUAGUGGGGGAUAGCGUCCGGAAACGGGCGCUAAUACCGCAUACGUCCUGAGGGAGAAAGUGGGGGAUCUUCGGACCUCACGCUAUCAGAUGAGCCUAGGUCGGAUUAGCUAGUUGGUGGGGUAAAGGCCUACCAAGGCGACGAUCCGUAACUGGUCUGAGAGGACGAUCAGUCACACUGGAACUGAGACACGGUCCAGACUCCUACGGGAGGCAGCAGUGGGGAAUAUUGGACAAUGGGCGAAAGCCUGAUCCAGCCAUGCCGCGUGUGUGAAGAAGGUCUUCGGAUUGUAAAGCACUUUAAGUUGGGAGGAAGGGCAGUAAGUUAAUACCUUGCUGUAUUGACGUUACCGACAGAAUAAGCACCGGCUAACUUCGUG
RNAcentral lists this ribosomal RNA (484 nucleotides) under uncultured bacterium. RNAcentral describes it as "partial 16S ribosomal RNA". It matches the Rfam family "Bacterial small subunit ribosomal RNA", at positions 30 to 507 of the family's 1533-position model. The record is from RNAcentral.